Molecule: non-coding RNA, 84 nt
Organism: Ficedula albicollis (Collared flycatcher)
Lineage: Eukaryota; Metazoa; Chordata; Aves; Passeriformes; Muscicapidae
Source: the annotation of a RefSeq genome assembly
GGCUCGUUGGUCUAGGGGUAUGAUUCUCGCUUAGGGUGCGAGAGGUCCCGCGAGAGGUCCCGGGUUCAAAUCCCGGACGAGCCC